Molecule: long non-coding RNA, 285 nt
Organism: Dendrobium catenatum
Lineage: Eukaryota; Viridiplantae; Streptophyta; Magnoliopsida; Asparagales; Orchidaceae
Exons: 3
Source: RefSeq, a predicted model, not a curated record
AUCUUCUGAUUCAUCUGAGAACAAAUCCGGAAAGGAUGGGGUUAUGGACAGAUCUGGAUUUGAACUACAAGGUCAUAAAGGUGAUGAUGGCUAUCAUGACACCGCUUCCAGAUUGAUCAAGGUAAUGAGUUAUAAUGUCUGGCCCGUGAAGAAGUAGAGGUGAUUGAGCAGAUGGAAGCCAUUGGCGACCUAAUUCAGAAGCACUCCCCUGAUAUAAUCUUCUUCCAGGAAAUUACACCAUAUAUUUAUAUAAUUUUCUAUCACUCCCAAUGGUGGAAACUCUAU